AUACCAAGAGUGCAAUACAAAUGUCAAAAAGAAUUUCGAUCCUGUGACUGAAGAAACAAAGAUGGUAACUGAAGCACUGGAGAACAAAUUUUUAUCUCAAUGACCACAGUUGCCUGAACUGUAACUUUCUCCUGACUAAUCACACUAUUAUGAUCAUAGCAAUAUGAGGGCAGAUGUUCUCUAGUAAUGACAUAGGAUUCCUUUCUUCUGUAUGUUUUCGUAGCAUAAUCUAUUCUUCCACCUGUAUCUUUGACCUAAACUGGAUGUUACUCCAGUGAGAAUUUCUUGUGAUAAUGCACAUGACUUCAUCCAUG
RNAcentral lists this unclassified non-coding RNA (314 nucleotides) under Hevea brasiliensis (rubber tree). The record is from RNAcentral. Lineage: Eukaryota; Viridiplantae; Streptophyta; Magnoliopsida; Malpighiales; Euphorbiaceae.